AUUGAACGCUGGCGGCAGGCCUAACACAUGCAAGUCGAGCGGAUGAAGGGAGCUUGCUCCUGGAUUCAGCGGCGGACGGGUGAGUAAUGCCUAGGAAUCUGCCUGGUAGUGGGGGAUAACGUCCGGAAACGGGCGCUAAUACCGCAUACGUCCUGAGGGAGAAAGUGGGGGAUCUUCGGACCUCACGCUAUCAGAUGAGCCUAGGUCGGAUUAGCUAGUUGGUGGGGUAAAGGCCUACCAAGGCGACGAUCCGUAACUGGUCUGAGAGGAUGAUCAGUCACACUGGAACUGAGACACGGUCCAGACUCCUACGAGAGGCAGCAGUGGGGAAUAUUGGACAAAGGGCGAAAGCCUGGUCCAGCCAUGCCGCGUGUGUGAAGAAGGUCUUCGGAUUGUAAAGCACUUUAAGUUGGGAGGAAGGGCAGUAAGUUAAUACCUUGCUGUUUUGACGUUACCAACAGAAUAAGCACCGGCUAACUUCGUG
Molecule: ribosomal RNA, 484 nt
Filed under: uncultured bacterium
Lineage: Bacteria
Description: partial 16S ribosomal RNA
Rfam family: Bacterial small subunit ribosomal RNA
Source: RNAcentral